UUAGUUACUCCAAAUCCGACGUUCGUAAAAAAAGACCAGGUGAACUACCUACGAGCCGCCGUCACCACCAUGUCACAGCCUCAUUUCCUCCUAGUGACCUUCCCUGCACAAGGCCACAUAAACCCAACCUUACAAUUUGCCAAGCAUCUUAUACGUAUUGGCGUACGUGUAACUUUCGUCACCUGCAUCUCGGCUUGCCGCCGCAUGACCAAAGUCCCCACUGCUCAGGGCCUAACGUUUUUACCCUUUUCCGAUGGCUACGACGACGGUUUUCAACCCGGCGAUGACAUAGAACAUUACCUAUCUGAAUUGAGGCGACGAGGCAAAGAAGCCAUCUCCGAGUUUAUAACAAGCAGUGAAAACGACGGCAAAUCCGUCACUUGCAUUGUCAACACCCUGUUCAUCCAUUGGGCCUCGGAGGUGGCGCGUAAACAUCACAUCCCGACAGCUUUACUUUGGAUUCAACCCGCCACCGUUUUCGACAUCUAUUAUUUUUACUUCAACGGAUACGAAUCCACCAUUAAAGCUCCUGUUGAUGAAACAAACCCCAAGCGUUCAAUAAAAUUACCAGGCCUGCCGCUACUCGCCACUCGCGACCUUCCGUCGUUCGUCACCGCUUCAAACGUUUACCGUUGGGCACUGUCGUUGUUCCAAGAACAAAUGGAUGUCCUCGCUGAUGAAUCCAACCCCAAAAUCCUUGUUAACACAUUCGAUGCUUUGGAACACGAAGCAUUAAACGCCAUUGAAAAUUUCAACAUGGUAGGCAUCGGACCUUUAAUCCCAUCUUCUUUCUUGAACUCAAAUGACUCCUUGGAUAAUUCCUUGAGAACCGAUCUUUUUCAAUCCGAUUCAAAAGAUUACAUCCAAUGGUUAGACUCCAAACCAAAAUCGGCCGUCGUUUACGUUUCCUUCGGGAGCUAUGCUGUGUUAACGAAGCAACAAGUGGAGGAAAUCGCUCGAGCUUUAAUAUCCAGCCGGCGACCCUUUUUAUGGGUGGUGAGGAACCGGAAAAAUGGAGGCGAAGAAGAGAAAGAAGAAGAUAAACUGACUUGCAGGGAAGAAUUGGAACAGUUUGGGAUGGUGGUUCCAUGGUGUUCGCAAGUGGAAGUAUUGUUUCAUCCAUCGUUGGGUUGCUUCGUGACGCAUUGUGGGUGGAACUCGACGUUGGAGAGCAUGGCGGCCGGUGUACCGGUGGUGGCUUUCCCUCAAUGGACGGAUCAAAGGACUAAUGCGAAGCUGAUUGAAGAUGUGUGGGGGAAUGGGGUGAGAGUGAGUGCUAAUGAAGAAGGGAUGGUGGAACGUGAUGAGAUCGUUAGGUGCUUGGAUUUGGUGAUGGGGGAUGAUAAGAAAGGGAUGGAAGUGAAGAAAAAUGUAGAGAAAUGGAAACGGUUAGCCAGAGAAGCCGCCAUGGAAGGCGGCUCCUUGGAUAUGAAGCUUAAAGCUUUUGUGGAUGAUAUUGCUGAAGGAUAUCGUAAGUAAAAUUAUCACUUUCAAAUCAAUUCACUGUUUCAAUAGUAGUUAUUUAAACAGUUAUUAUCGUACCAUGAAACUUGAUUAGGUUUUGCCUUGUAGUAAACAUGCGAAGGACGACCCACCACACAAGUUUAUGCAGAUAUGGUUUUUUUUUUUUUUUUGUUUAAUUUUGCUACUAGUCUCUAUACUUUAUGAAAGUUAUGGAUUUAGUCUCAAUACUUUAAUUUGACCAUUUUUAGUCCUGCACUUUUCAAAAUGUUCAAUUUUAGUCCCUAUACUUUUAGUCUUUUGAAAUUUUAGUCCUGAACCAAAUAAUAGUAGUUAAAUUAUUUUGUUUAAAUUCAAUUACUAGUCAUGUCCUAUGUGUACAAUUAUAGAUUUAAUAAAUAUAUUUCCUAAUUGAAUCAUUUUAAGUCCCUAUUUUUUUCGAAUUCUAAAAUUUCCGUCUCGACACAAAUGAUAGUCACUAAUCCAUUAACUAAAAUUUCAGUAAGUAAUAUGUGAAAAUAUCAAACAGAAAUGCCAUUACACAUAUGAUAAUAUGUUUGUUGCAUCAAAUUUUGAAAAUAACAGAAUUUAAUGAAUUUAACAAUUAUCGUUUAGUGAAGGCUGAAAUUUUAAAAUUUAAAAAGUAAGAGAAUUAAAAAUGACCAAAUUAAAGUAUCAGUAUUAAAUCUGCAACUUUUGUUAAGUAAGACUAAUAAUAAAAUUUAACCUUAUUUUUUUCUUGAAAGAAAUUGAAAGUGACCAUUUAAGUAUAUAAUAUGUGAUUGGGAUUGGAGAAUAUGAAUGGUGUGAUAGAUUUUGAAUGUAGGAAACAAAAUUUUUUGAAAUGUGGUUGUAGGAUGGAGUGGGUUGGAUUUAUUUGUGUGUGGUCAAUGUAUAACUCUUUGCCUUUAUACUAUAUAAAAGUAUCAUUUUAUCCGUUUAAUAUGUAUAACUAUUUAAAUAUGUAGAAAUGUGAAAAUGUAUUAUAGAAAAGCCUUUAUGUUUAAUUUUUUUUAAAAUUUUAUGUUCUAAAGUCACUAAAUUAUUAGUAAAUUUAUGUUUUGAUUACUCAACUUCAAAAAGUUACAAAAUGGUCAUGAGUUAUUAGAAAAUUUUCAUUUCAGUUGUUCAACUAUUCAAAACUUUUUUUGUUUAAGUCAUUACGCUGUUAAGUUCUUUCUAAGUUCAAUUAAUGAGCUCCAACCGAUGAUUUAACAAUCGUAUGGUGGAUUAGUACUCAUCGACGAGUAGAGGAAAUCCCUUGAGAUUUUUUAUCCAGUCGGCAACCAUUUUCAUGGGUGGUGAGGAACUGGAAAGAUGGAGGCUACGAAGAGAAAGAAAAAGAUAAACUGGCUUGCAGGGAAGAAUUGGAACAGUUUGGGAUGGUGGUUCCAUGGUGUUCGCAAGUGGAAGUAUUGUCUCAUCGUCGUUGGGUUGCUUCGUGACGCAUUGUGGGUGAAACUCGACGUUGGAGAGCAUAGUGGCCAGUGUAUCAAGGGACUAAUGCGAAGCUGAUUGAAGAUGUGGGGGGAAUGGGGUGAGAGUGAGUGCUAAUGAAGAAGGGAUCAUGGAACGUGAUGAGAUUGUUAGGUGCUUGGGUUUGGUGAUAGGGGAUGGGGAGAAAGGGAUGCAAGUGAAGAAGAAUGUUGAGAAAUGGAAAGGGUUAGCGGGGGAGGCCGCCAUGGAAGGCGGUUCCUUGGAUAUCAACCUUAAAGUUUUUGUGGAUGAUGUUGCUCAAGGUUGUUGCAAGUAAAUUUAUCUUUUCAUAUAAUUAUCUACAUUUAUAUCUCGAAUUCUUAAAUCAAGAAAUAAUAUGUUUGAAAACGAUCAAAUUCCUUUUGUUGUAAUAAUAAUAAUAUCAAAUGACCUAAAAUUCGAUGAAAUGUUACAAAUUAAUUUUUAAUUUAUGUUUGUAUUAAAUUUACGCUUAAAUUAAUUUUGGGUUAUGGUGUAAGUUUUUUUUAAAAAUAAUUUUAAUGGUCAAAUUUAAUUAAUAACACCAUCAAUUGGAUUUUAAAUUUUAAGUCAAACAAGAGACAAAAGUUUAAAAAUUAAAAGUAGCGGAUUAAAUGUUAAAAAAAAUUGCAAAAGAGUACAAGAAUUGGGGGUAUACUUAGAAAAAAUAUUAAAAUUUUCUUUUCUCCUCCAAUAGUAGAAUCUAAAGUUACGCACCUUUAUAAAAUUAAAAAAGAGUUAAUUGUCCAAGAUAAAUAUUAAAUAAUAAUAUUUAUAGACUCGAGUACAUGAAAUUUAUUGUUGGUCAUUGAAUUUAUCAUUUAACAAUUACUUUUGUUUUGGCUAUUGAGAAAAUUUUCUAGCCCUUAUAAUAUAUAUAUCUCCAUAUUAUUGGAUGUGUUACUUUUUAUUAAAUUACAUUGCCUAAGGUUGCUUAUUGCGAUUAUGGUAAUUUGCUGCAUCAUCCCCUGACUAAUUCUUCUCAUUUUUAGUGUUAGCAUUCUUCUGCUUAAAAUCUGGGUCUCAUGUUGCUUUUUGAGCAUCACUAUACCAUUCUCCUCUUUAACCCACCGAAAAAUCUAGUAGGAGCUUUUGCUUCCGAUUCUGGAGAAGUUUCCUCCCUCAAAAGUACCCUAUCGGCUUCAGGAGAUGCUGCCUCAUCAAAAGUGUAAUAGCCCGAAUUUGGGCCUAGUCGAAACAGUAGUUUCGGGACCACAAAUGUAAUAUUUCAAAAAUUUCUAUAGUAAGAUAUUAUCCUUGGUAUAGUAAAAUAAGGAAAUAAAGUAAAAAAAAAGGGGGAAAUUUUGAGUUAUGUCAACAUUGAGAAGUAUGACAUAUUAAUGCAAUAAAGGAUUAAAUCGCAAAAGUGAGAAAAGUAUUGAGGGAUUAAAGUGUAAAUAUGAAAAAGUUGAAGGACCAAAGGUCUAAAUAUUUUAAGGGUGGAAUGAUCUAGAAACUAAGGAAAAUGGAUGAAUUAGGACCAAAUUGAAUAAGAUAAGAAUUAUGAGGGACUAAAUCGUAAUUUUACCAAAUUAAGUGUGACUCAAUGAUGGAAUUUUAAAAGAUUAUGAAGGGCAAAAUGGUCAAUUAGAAGAGAGAGAAAUCUAGAAGGCAAUGAUGAUGUUGGUGAUAUUUUAGAUUAAUUAAUUAAAUAAAUAUUAGUUCAUUAAUAUUUUAAUAUGAUUUUUAAAUGAUAUUUUAUUAAUUUAUUAUUAUUCUAUUUAGUAUAUAUAUGAAAGGAAAGAUGAGGAAUUAUCAUCUUCUUCCCCAUGCAACCAACGUAUGAAGAGGAAAGAAAGAAAGAAACUUUCUUUUCUUUACAAUUUGGUCCUUUUAUAAAAAAUUCACCAUUUUCGCUUAGAAAUUAAAAGAAUUUCCAUAUCCAUCAAGAGAGAAAGAUAACAAGGAGACUAUGGGGAGCUAGAAUAUCAAGUUAGAUUCAAGAAAUAGAAGCUGGAGGAGGGAGAAAAUCAAGUUAAAGAUUGAAAUCAAUUGAGCAAGGUAAGAAUAUCAAGAUUUCAAUAUAUUUUUGAGUUUGAUAUUAUUGAAAAGGCAUGAAAUUGAUGUUAAUGUAGAGUUUUAUUAUAUAAGGUUUUAUGUUCUUGGUAUGUUAGUGAAGAGAAAAUAAGAGAAAGUGAUGAGAAAUAGUGUAGAGAAAGAAAAUAAGAGUGUUAUAAACUUAGUAAUCAAUAUUUUACACUAAAACAGUUUGGACAGCAGCAGUAGGUUAACUUUGAAAAAUCCCCAAAAAUUGUGGGAAUUGAAUUAGAAGAUGAAUAAAAUAUGAAAUUAAAGCUUAUUGAGUCUAGUUUCUCAUAAAAGAAAUGGUGUAAGCAAUAGAAUUUUAAAUCAUGAUAUAUAAUAAAUUUUGUGAGACAAUAUCAGAAUGAUUUUGGGUUCCCCUGUUCUAACUUUGGAAAAUCAUAAAAAAUUGAAGAAAAAUAAUUAUGAGUUAUAAUUUAUAUGAUUAGAAUCCUUAAUAAAUCUAUUUUCAAAUUAAAUAAACAUAAAAAUCAUCCAAAUUCUGUACAAUUAGAUAAUUCAUUUUUAGUGAAGAGUGGUCGGAACUGUCAGAUAGAAAAAUAGGGGAAACUUUAAAGAAUAAACUGUACUAUUUGGAUGAACCAAAAAUUCUGAAAAUUUUAUGGCAAUAAGAUAUAUGAGUCUAGUUUCAGGGAAAAUUAAUGGAUCUUAAUUUGGAUUUCUAUAGCUCAAGAUAUAAAUGAUUUAGUAACUAUGACUCAAAUGGACAGCUUUGAAUAAAUUUACAAGAAAAUAGUGAAAUUAUAGAUAAUGUUACUUAUAAGCAUGUUAUGUAAAUUAAGGAUGUGGAAUGGAGAGUGUACAAGCCCAAUUUUUGACCCAGGGCCCAAUAACAAAUUUUAACCUAAAAAAACUACCCAGGCCCAACUAGCCUAACCCAAUCAGCCCAAAACAUAAACACCUAGCAGAAACCCUAGCCCCCUGUUGUGCCGCACCUGCUCCUGGCCGCCUCACCUGCUCCGCCGUUCACCUGCUUUCUGCCAUUGCCCAACUGCCCACCUGCAAACGAGUAAAGAAAGCAGCAACAACAACAAUGAAAAGAGGAGAAAUGACAGUGGUGUAAAAAAAAAAUGGGUACACAAAUGGGUAUAUAAAAAAGGGCGGGGAUCACCGAAAGAGGGUCUUUUCCUUUUCUUUUGUAAUUUUUUCACAACACAACAGUUAAUGAAAAAAGGCAGAGAAAACAUUUAAAGGUGGAUUCAGACUUUUUAUUCUUUUUUUUGUUUGUUUUUAUGUUUGCUUGUUUAUAUAUAUAUACGAAUCUAUCUCAACAAAAACGAAAAUAAAAAAGAGAAAGAGAGAAACUCACCGGGGGGCUUUGAAAACCCGUCAUCGCGCUUCGCCGGCCGUCGAUCUGGUGGCCGUGCGGCGGAUGUGCGAACGGUGGCAGCUAAGGAGGGCUUUUAAAAAAAACCCUAACAGAGAAAAAGCUAGAGGCUUUUUUGUUUUUUUUUAUCUGCUAUUACAAAGUGUAUUUUUUAGGGGAAAUUUUAAUUUAAAUAGGAUCAGCUAAACGGCGCCGUUUUGGGUGGGAAAACCCCCGCGCGCGACCCGACCCGCGUCUCAGGAUCCACGUGUUUUGAUGAUUGGGUUAUUUACCCAUUUGGCCCUUCCGCCCUUUUGGGGUGUUUCAAUCUAGUCCUAUUUACAUUUUUAGAUUUUAUAAUUUUCGCCCAAAUUAUUUUUAGCGUUUUUGAUUUAGUCUUGCACUCAUAGAAUGGACACGUGUCCUAAUAAUUGGGAUAUUUUCCGUUUUGGCCCUCCGUCCUUUCGCGCGAGUCACAUUUUGGUCCUUUUCGUCCUUUUUAUUCCAAAUUCGCCCGGUAUUUCCUUUUUUUAUUUUAUUUCGAUUUAGCCCUUUUUUAGUCGCUUUAUUAUUUUGUUUAUUUUAUUAUUAUUAUUAUUAUUAUUAUUAUUUACUAUUAUUAUCUUUACUAUUAUUGUUAGUAUUAUUACUACUAUUAUUAUUACUAUCAUUAUAUUUACACCUAUAUUUACUUAUAUAAAUCUUAGAUAAUAGGUGAUAUAUUAUAUUAUUAUAAAAUUGCGUAUAUACGUACAUGUAUAUGUAUUCUUUUAACUAAUUUUAUAUAUACAUACAAAAUCAUAUUUUCGUAUAUUUUUUAAUUUGUAUAUACAUAUACUUAUAUCUAUAUUUUCUAAUUUUUAUAAAUAUAUUUAUAUGUACAUACUUAUAUUUUUUAUAUACUUUCUAAUUCGUAUAUACCUAUUUACAUCUAUAUUUUUAAUAUAUUUUAAACAUAUAUAUAAAUAUCACUAUUUACUUUUUUAUUUUUAUUUUUUAUUAUUAUUUUCAAAUUUUGAUGUAUACUUACAUAUAUAUAUCUUUACAUUUUUAUAAUUUUAUUCAUUUAUUUAUUUACAUUUUCAUUAUUAUUUUGAACGAAUGCUUUAAUUUUAUUUGCUUGUAUACAUUGCUAUUUCGUAUGUUAUUGGUCUGUACCUUUUAUUUUUCUUAUUUUCGUUGCUAUUACUUGCAUUGUUUUUACAUCAUCGUAUUCAUAUUUAUUUAGUUACGCAUAUUAACAUCGUAUCUUAUUUUUACUGUUUCGUGAAAAAAAUAUUUCAUUCAAUGUAUGAAUUAUAACUUUUUGAGUAAACAAAAUUUCGUGUUUAGAUUUGAGAAAGUCGUACCCUAACUUACUGGGUUUCGACUUUCACAACAAAUCUAAAGACACGAAUCUUUUUAAACUCAAAUUUUAAAUGAUCUCGGGAUUAAAAAUCGCGUCCUAACUUACUGGUCGUGAUCUCAUUUUCAAAUCCGAGAUGGCUAAACCUAUCUUUUAAAUAAGCAUUUUUAUUCGCGUAUCGAGAACUCGAGACGUUGUAUCCUAACUCACUGGAUAUGAUGUCUUUUCUCGAUUAACGUGAAAUAUGCCACUUUUUCCAAGAUUUUCAACUUUUUAAUACAAAGAUCAUAUUUUUAAAAUUCUUUUAAAUUAUCAAUUUUCGACAUUAAGACAUUAAGUAAUCAACUAGGUACCAAUUUUGGGCGUAUCGAGGGUGCUAAUCCUUCCUCGUGCGUAACCGACUCCCGAACCCGUUUUCUAAAUUUCGUGGACCAAAACCGUUGUUUUAAUAAAAUCAAACCGUUUAUUAAAAACAACCCCUCUUCGAGGUGAUCCAAUCGCACCUCAUAAAAAAAAGAGGAUUGGUGGCGACUCCCGUUUCUUUUUUCAAAACCCAAGUCAACCCCGUUUUUCAUCCAAAAAAUGGUGUCAACAGCUUGGCGACUCCACUGGGGACACAGAUAAGAGGGUCAAGCCACGUGGUGAUUACUUUUUGUCUUUUGUCAAAAAUUGAAAAUUCGGUUUAAAAUUACGAUCCUUUCAUCGCAUUUUAUCUGUCUUUAUCAUAAUCAUCACCAUUAGGGUUUAUAUUUGCUCUGUUUGUUUAAAUUUUGGUAUCUUUCCGCAUUUCAUUGCAUGACCGUUGGUCACACCUUUAAGUGGGAGUGAGAAGCUACGCCUUCGUGAGGUUUUCACCUCCGCAUGGGAUAGUGAAUCGCUUUCGGGAUAUAUCCGUACCUAUGUCUUCGUGAGAUUUUCAUCUCCGCAUGGCCAUAGAGAAAUGUAUCCCCCUGAAUCGAACUUGGUCCGUAUGAGCCUAUAAUGGGUGAGGAUCGAGGAAUUUGCUGGUUCAGGUACCCUACUUUAGAACCAAACCACAUGUAAUGAGCCAUAGGAACCGACCUAGGUAGAGCUACUCCAAAUUUUUAGUGCUUACCUAAAUGAAUGUUGUAUUUAUUUGUCGCUUAUUUUAAAUCUUAUUCUGUGUUUAAUGUUAAUUUACUUUGUUUGUGAUUGCAUGGCAUCUUCAUUCUAAAAGAGGUGUCGAUUUACGUUCAGUUUCUUGGUAGAAAGCUUAUCAUGGAAAAGGGGUUUGUUGAUAAAGUAGAGGAUAAUGCGGCUGUGCAAAUAUGGGCUGAAACGACACAACGAGAGAAAGGCGAUAGUCUUACCGAAGGGUACGUGUCAGAAUUGUGGGAUUUUACCCGUAUCAGUGUAAUCCAGAAUGACCUUCGAGAAAUGAAAGAAGUCUGGGAUCAAUGGGAUGUCGAGGCCAAGCAGCUGUUCUAUUGUAACUACGGUGACCUACCUUAUCUGCUUAGUGUCAAAGUGGACAAGUAUUUAUUCCGAGCCCUUGCUCAGUUUUGGAAUCCUGCCUACAGUUGUUUCACUUUUGGGAAGGUAGAUUUGACGCCUACUGUGGAGGAGUAUACGACCUUGCUUCGGUGUCCAAAGAUUCAAGUCGACAAGGCUUAUUCCAAAGCUGCUUGUGUCCCUCCGUUGUUAAAGAAAUUAAUGAACAUCACUGGGAUGAGCGAGCAGUGGGUCGCUGUCCGGAUCCAACAGAAGAGCGACAGUAAAUGUGUUCCUUGGAAAAGUUUGCGAGAUUUGGUGCUUGUACAUCCUGACUUAAAGAAAAGGGUCGAUAUCUUCGCUUUAGGUAUCUAUGGACUAGUGGUUUUCCCCAAAGCUUUAGGACACAUAGACGAGGCUGUAUCUGAUUUGUUUGAUCGGCUUAGUAAAGGGGUUACACCGGUUCCGGCAAUACUCGCUGAAACUUUUAGAUCCUUGAAUGCGUGUCGAAAAGCAGGGGAGGGAAGGUUUAUUGGAUGCGCACAGCUCUUAUUGGCAUGGUUCCAUAGCCACUUCUGGAAAGUCGAAAAGGUCUCUUAUCGGGUAUUCUCCGAUAGCUACUCCCCUCUAGGAGAAUUGGUGGCCACGCCAAGACGGGAUGAUAUUUCAGAAGAAAAAUGGAUAGAGAUACUCCAGAAUCUCCAAGAUGAAGAUAUUGAAUGGAGGGCUCCUUGGUUAAUUCCUGAUGAGAUAUUGUACCGAUGUGGAGAUUUUGACUGGGUUCCGCUGCUCGGGAUAUGGGGAGCUAUCGGAUAUGCUCCUCUACUCGUAUCAAAACAGUAUAGAUCACGACAAUUCAUACCAGCAACCCAGGGGUUAGCUUAUAGUGAUUUUUCCUAUAGGGAGGACAAUUACAAGAAGAAGGUUCGAGAAAUAUCUAGUGCCUGGAACCAGACUCGUCGAAUGAAGAUCUUAGCCGUGGGUCCGACAAUUACCCCCGAGUAUGGUCAGUGGCGUGAUCAAAGGAUCAACGACAACAUCCCGGCGUCAAAUCCAGAAACUGCUCGAUCUUUGGAGGAACACUUACAAGUUUUGCCUUCUGAGAUAGAAAUCAUCAAACAAGAAUUCGAAAAAAGGAGUUUAGAAUUGGGGAAGAAGAUAGAACAACUAGAGGAAGAAAAAAUGCAGUUAGGACUGGAUGUGGACAUUCAAAGAUUAGAGGCCAACAAAUUGAGAAAAGGAAAGAACAAAGCAGAAGAAGAUUUGGACAGCCUGAAGACAGAUUACAAGAAGUUGCGUAGGUCGGUAAGAGCUGCUGGCUUGGGUAAAACGCCAGAACAAUGGCGACAAGAAAUUCAGGAGGAAAAGACGAAAGCUAAUCAAUGGGAAAAGAAAUUUCAGGAUACUCGGGCUCGAGAGGUCGCCUUGGGAAAGAGUCUACUAGUUUGCCAAGACGAGAAGACGGAGUUGAAGGUCCGGAUAACCGAACUAGAAAGAUCGCUUCACCAGUACUGUAAUCGUAAUGCUACGGUUGAAUUAAGGGCGAGCUUAGACAAAAUUGAAUAAUUAAAAAGACAAAUAGGAGGGCUAGAGAACGCAUUGCAAAAUAGUGAAAUCCGGAUAGAGCUUCUGGAAGAAAGUAAUGAGCAGUGGCAAAGACAAUUCCGUCGGUCUCAAGAGCAGAUUGGAGAAAGAGAUUAUAUUAUGGGAGAGGCGGUGAGUCAAGUGCGCGAAGUAGCUGAUCAUCUGUAAACUCUAGCGGUUCAGGCUGAUCUAUUAAGUUUGAAGUAUGAGUCAGAGUCGGACAGGGGCCGAGAAUUAGCUUGACUUCUUAGAAAGGUUAAGGCUUUGAGUGUGAGGGCAAAGCCAUAUAUGUAGUCUAUUUUAUGUAAAAAAACUCUUUAUCUAGUAAAGUUUUCUAAUGAAGUUGAAUUAGAAUCAGUGCCUCUUUUUCUUUGCAUCCUUUUCAUGCAUUGCAUCACAUCACAUGCAUUAAUGACCAUUAAAAACCUAAUCGAAUAAAAUCAUUUCAGUUAACCUGGAAAACCAACAAAGUUACGGCACCCGAGCUAAGACAAAAAUUAUGGACCAAAGGUUGGAGAAGCUAGAGCGACUUCAAAGAGAAAUGCAAGACCAGUUGCAGGCGCAAAUGAAAGAGCAAAUAGAAAAGAUUCAGCGUGACAUGGUGCAAAAGAUGGAGGAGUCCCAAAAUGAUCUGGUGGCUAAGAUGACGCAACUAUUGAAGGGAGUAGAUAAGGGUAAAGGUCCUGUGAUUGUUAGUGAAGAAGAAAACAAUGGUGAACCACUUUAUCCUCCAGGUUUCACGCCUCCGCAUGCGCAAGUACAGACUGAGCUGCAUCCGCGGAGACCCUCUGUGUCGGUUAGGCCCCAGCAGUUCCAAGGCGAUGCUUCAAUCCCAAUGAAUUUUCAACCCGGAGCGGGCCUUAAUCCCGGUGAUAGCCCGAAUAAUAUUGCUGUCCCAGAUCUUGACGAGAUGGUUGAAAAGGAUAAGGCGAAGGAGGAAUUUCCAAAACAAUUUGAGGAGAAAUGGAAAUGGAUAGAAGAGAAGUUUAGGGCAAUAGAAAGCAUCGAAAGCUAUGGAAUAGAUGCAAAGGAUCUAAGCUUGGUUCCGGACUUGGUGCUCCCUUACAAAUUUAAGAUGCCGGAAUUUGAGAAAUACAACGGGACUAGUUGCCCAGGAUCCCAUAUUACUAUGUUUUGUAGAAGAAUGACGGGGCAUAUUAAUAAUGAUCAAUUAUUAAUACAUUGCUUUCAGGAAAGUCUUACGGGAGCGGCGUCAAAGUGGUACAAUCAGCUGAGCCGAGCUAAAAUUGCUACUUGGAGGGAUUUAGCACAGGCUUUCCUGAGACAAUACAAUCAUGUCUCAGAAAUGAUGCCUGACAGGAUAACUCUGCAAAAUUUAGAGAAGAAAUCGAACGAAAGCUUCAGACAAUAUGCGCAGAGGUGGCGAGAGGUGGCAGUUCAGGUGCAACCACCGCUUUUGGAAAAAAAGAUGACGACGCUUUUUAUUAAUACUUUGAAAGCCCCGUUCAUCACUCACAUGUUGGGAAGCGCUUCAAAAAAUUUCUCGGAUAUAAUCAUGAAUGGUGAAAUGAUUGAGCAUGCCAUUAAAAGUGGAAAAAUAGAUGGAGGAGAAAAUAAUAGGAGGGCACCCUUGAGGAAAAGAUAAAAUGAAGUGAAUAAUGUGAAUGCUUAUGGUAGGUCAAUUACCGUGAAUCAACCAAAGAAAGUGGUUGCUAAUCAACAGGGAUCAUCAAGACAAGAGUCGGGAGCUAGGUAAACUACUGAAAAGCCCCAAUUCACGCCAAUCCCGAUGUCAUACAAAGAGUUGUAUCAGACUUUAUUCGAUGCACAUGUUGUUGCUCCUCGUUACUUGAGUCCUCUACAACCCCCGUAUCCAAAAUGGUAUGAUAUGAACGCGCAAUGUGAUUAUCAUGUGGGAAUUUCUGGGCACUCGAUAGAAAAUUGUACUGCCUUCAAGAAGGUAGUAGAAGGACUUAUCAAUUUAGGUGUCGUCAAACUUGACGACUCACCUAAUGCAAAGAAUCCGUUACCUAAUCACGCAGAUAAGGGGGUGAAUAUGGUUAGCGAAGAUACGGGAGAAGAAGUCAAGACUGACAUUGCUGAAGUAAAAACUCCAUUGAAACGGGUCUGGAAAGAAAUGGCGAAAAGAGGUUUGGUUAUUUCAGAUUCUGAGGAAGGGCAUGAGAUGGGAAAUUAUUGUGAAUUUCACCAUAAAACAGGGCACGAAAUCCAAGAAUGUGAAGGAUUUAAGGCUUUGGUUCAAAGCAUGAUGGAUAACAAGGAAAUGAGGUUUUACGAAGAUGCGAAAGAAAUGAGGAGCAUAUGCGCGACAGAGUUGGGAACAAAGGCUCCAAAAAUAAAUCAUCCUGUGGUCAUUAUCUCACGCCCUAAGGGUAAUGAGGUUAGGGCUCAGGUAACACCGAAAAUUGUAAUCCAGAAACCAUCAAAUUUCUCUUAUAGGGAUAACAAAAUGGUGCCGUGGAAUUACGGGUGUAAUGUGACCAUUUUGGGAAAAGAAGCAGAAAGAAAUCAGGAAAUAGGUUCUUACACGCGUAAUGGAAAAAGAUGUGACGCUCAAGCAGAGUCGUCCAGGGAAGAGAAUUGGAAGAAAGAACAGAGGAAAGGGAAAGCAGUAGAAGUUGAACCAUUGGUAAAUGAACCAAUAAAAGAAGAGGAGGCAAAGGAGUUUUUGAAGUUUUUAAAACACAGUGAAUACAAUGUUGUGGAGCAACUGCACAAACAGCCAGCCCGCAUUUCUGUAUUAGCUUUACUCUUAAACUCAGAAGUACAUCGGAAUGCACUAUUAAAGGUGCUAAACGAAACAUAUGUGGCUGACGAUAUUUCGGUAAACAAGCUGGAUCGACUGAUCAACAAUAUUGGUGCUGACAAUUUUAUCUUCUUCAGUGAUGAUGAAAUACCAUCCGGAGGAAGAGGUUCUACUAAAGCCCUGCAUGUUACUGUCCGAUGCAAAGGGUACACACUCCCGGGGGCCUUGGUUGAUAAUGGAUCUGCACUAAAUGUAUUGCCUUUGUCCACUCUUAGUCGAUUACCAAUAGACAGUUCGCACAUGAAAGCAUGCCAGAGCAUAGUAAGGGCAUUUGAUGGAACAAAAAAGGAGGUUAUGGGGAGAAUUGAGGUACCAUUAAGGAUUGGCCCAGUCACUUAUGAGGUGGAUUUCUUGGUAAUGGAUAUUAAACCCUCCUACAACUGUCUAUUGGGGAGACCGUGGAUACACUCAGCAGGGGCAGUACCUUCAUCAUUACAUCAGAAGGUGAAGUUGGUAUCGGAGGAUCGGUUGGUAACAAUAGAUGCAGAGGAGGAUAUUAUCGCAAUGAUGACUAGCGAUGCACCUUAUGUGGACAUCAACGAUGAGACACUAGAAUGUUCUUUUCGGUCGUUAGAAUUUGUGAACGCGAUGUUUAUUGCGGAGGGAAAUAGAAUUCCAGUACCGAAAAUAUCCAGGACCACUGAGAUGGGAUUGCGAUUGAUGGUAGGAAGAUGAGCCUUACCCGGGAAAGGAUUGGGAAAAUAUCUUCAGGGAAGGAUUGAGGCACCAAUGCCGAAGGAAAAGUUUGAUAGAUUUGGUUUAAGGUACAAGCCAGACAUGAAGCAGAAGAAGAAAGAAGUAGAGAAGAGACAAGAGAGAAGAAGGGCGCGUUUGAAUGGACAUGAAGCUAAGUGUGAGCCUUUAACCUUUCCCCACAUAUCUACAUCUUUUGUGUCGGGAGGAUUUAUUCAUUCUGAAUGUGGAGUGUCCGGUAGCGGCAUGGGAGGAAUGUUGGAAAACGUUUAUACUAACGCCAUAGAAGCAACGGAAAGGAGGGCUUUGUUGGAGAUCUGCCCUUAUGAGCCUGGAAGCGAGCUAAACAAUUGGACUGCUGAAGAAAUCCCUGUAGUCUUUAGGGCUUAUUCAGAGUAAUGCUCAAAACAUUCCUGUUGUUUGUUGGCCUAGAAACGAUAUGAAAUCUUUUGUGAAAUAGGCAUUGGGCCUAAAUAUCAUUAUUUUAAUGAAAUACGUGUCUACGUUCAUCUCGAUCAGUCACUUUUUUCUUUUAUAUUUUUCAUUUGGUUGAUUGUCUUACAAAUAAUUCUUUCAUUUAUAAUUCUUUUGCACAAACAUAUUCAUAAAUUUAUAUUCUUAGUAUAUUCUUUGAUCUGCCCUCAUAGGUCUUCAGAUAUCAAUGACAUGAGUGACGCUGCCUCAAACGCGGAGCCUAUUUUUGAGCAAGAAGUGUGUUCAGAGGGAUCCCACGACUUUGAAAAUGACGAAGAUUAUGAUGCAUCUCCGGACUUGUUAAGAAUGAUGGAACAAGAGGAUAAGCAUAUCCUACCUCAUAGGGAAUCGUUAGAAAUAGUGAGCCUAGAGGAUGGAAAUGAGGUGAAAAUUGGAACUGAAAUCACCGCAAAGACAAGGCAAGACCUCAUUAAUUUGCUCCGAGAGUUCAAGGAUGUUUUCGCGUGGUCGUACCAAGAUAUGCCUGGGCUAAGUACUAACAUUGUGGUGCAUCGUCUGCCCAUAAAGGAGGAUUGUAAACCCGUUCAACAGAAGCUUAGGAGAAUGAGACCUGACAUUGUGUUGAAAAUAAGAGAAGAAGUCAAAAGACAAUUCGACGCUAGUUUCUUACAAGAGGUCAAGUAUUCGGAUUGGGUAGCCAACAUCGUCCCUGUUCCCAAAAAAGAUGGAAAGGUACGAAUGUGUGUGGAUUAUAGGGAUUUAAACAAGGCUAGUCCAAAGGACAACUUUCCACUGCCUCACAUUGAUACUUUGGUAGAUAACACGGCGGGCUAUUCAUUGUUUUCUUUCAUGGACGAUUUCUCUGGAUACAAUCAAAUAAAGAUGCAUCCUGGAGACAUGAGGAAAACCACAUUCAUUACCUUAUGGGGAACAUUCUGUUACAAGGUAAUGCCCUUCGGAUUGAAGAAUGCGGGAGCAACGUAUCAAAGAGCUAUGGUGACUUUGUUUCACGACAUGAUGCACAAGGAGAUCGAAGUCUAUGUUGACGAUAUGAUCGCGAAGUCUAGAACGGAAGAAGAGCAUGUUCAGGUCUUGAAAAGGUUAUUUUUGAGAUUAAAGAAAUUUCAGCUCAAGCUUAACCCGGCCAAAUGCACGUUUGGAGCCAGAUCAGGGAAGUUAUUAGGCUUCAUAGUUAGCAAAAAGGGGAUCGAGGUUGACCCAGACAAAGUAAAGGAAAUACGAGAUUUACCUCCCCCGCGCACUCAGAAGGAGGUUCGAGGUUUCCUAGGGAGGCUGAAUUACAUUGCUCGGUUCAUCUCACAACUGACAGAGAAAUGUGAUCCAGUAUUCCGGCUCUUAAAGAAACAUAAUCCGGGCGAAUGGAAUGAAGAGUGUCAGAGGGCUUUCGAUAAGAUAAAGCAGUACUUGGCUAAUACUCUAGUCUUAUCACCUCCAAGUCCAGAUAGGCUAUUGAUAUUGUAUCUAACAGUGUUGGAGAAUUCCAUGGGAUGCGUAUUGGGCCAACAUGAUGAGACGGGAAAGAAAGAAAGGGCAAUAUACUAUCUCGGUAAGAAAUUUACCGAUUGCGAAAUGAGGUACUCAUCAAUUGAGAAGUUGUGUUGUGCUCUAAUCUGGGCAACCCGAAGACUGAGGCAGUAUAUGUUGUAUCACACAACUUGGUUGAUUUCAAAGUUAGAUCCUUUAAAAUAUAUGAUGGAAUCGACUGCUUUGAACGGGAGAAUGGCUAGAUGGCAGAUCUUGCUCUCAGAAUUUGAUAUAGUAUAUGUCAGUCAGAAGGCCAUAAAGGGAAGUGCAAUAGCCGAUUUCCUAGCUAGUAGAGCCUUGGAGGACUAUGAAUCUUUGAACUUCGAUUUUCCAAACGAGGACUUGAUGUAUGUGGCGAAUACUGAAGAAAAUCCUCAAAUGGAUCACGUAUGGAAGUUAAAUUUUGAUGGAGCUUCAAAUGCUACGGGUAAUGGAGUUGGGGCAGUUUUGGUAUCCCCAAGUGGAGAUCAUUAUCCUGUUGCUAGCAAGUUGGACUUCGAUUGUACAAAUAACAUGGCAGAAUAUGAAGCAUGUAUUAUGGGCAUUCGUGCAGCCAUUGAACGGAACAUCAAAGUACUGAGAGUAUACGGGGAUUCAGCGUUGGUGAUAUACCAACUCAAAGGGGAGUGGGAGACUAGAGAUCCUAAGCUGAUCGGUUAUAGAAAACUAGUUCUUGAAUUGGCUGAGGAGUUUGACGAUAUCACCUUCUAUUACCUCCCACGGGAGGAAAACCAAAUGGCUGAUGCAUUAGCUACUCUAGCUUCGAUGAUUCAGGUGAAUAGACUUGAGGCAAUGAGGCCUGUUCAGAUGAGUAUCUCUGAGACCCCGGCUAAUUGCUGCAAUAUUGAGGAGGAGGGAAAAGAUGAUUGUCCUUGGUAUCGGAGUAUCUUACAAUAUGUGAAGAAUCGGGAAUACCCUGAUCAAGCGACAGAGAAUGACAAAAGAACUCUGAGAAAGAGCAGAUCGAAGACACUAUCCUAUCUCCCUGAAGUUACAGUGGAGCGGAUUAAAAUAAAGGAUCUUAUCUCUCUGAGGUUACAGCAGAGUAGAUCGCAUCAAGUCUUAUUUCCCUGAAGAUGCAGUGGAACAGACUGAAAACAAUAAGGCGUGUCUCCUUAAAGUUGUAGCGGAGCGGACAGAAGAUAGUGAUUCUUAUCAUGUCUAAUCUUAUUCCCCUAAAGUUGUAGUAGAAUAGAUGGAAGCGAAGUCACAAACCUUGUCUCUCUGAAGUUGCAGUAAAGCAGGUUGAAGUCACGAAUCUUAUCCCCCUGAAGUUGUAGUGGGGCAAGUUGAAGAUAUGAGUCCGAUCUCCCCGAAGUUGCAGUGGAGCGGGUCAAAAUGAUGGACCUUACCCCCUGAAGCUACAAUAGAGUGGAUUGAAGCUACAAGUUUUGUCUUUUGGAAGUUACAGUGGAGUGGGUCGACGCAACAAGACACAGUGGACUAGAAUAAAGUUACUUGAAAAGAAGCGUCAAGAGAAGUCAAUACUCGGCAAAGACUGGACAAAAAUUGGUCUUUCUUAGUCUUUGCUCUGUUAUCGUUACACGACAACGAGCAAAGAGGGGCAGCUGUACAAGCCCAAUUUUUGACCCAGGGCCCAAUAACAAAUUUUAACCUAAAAAAACUACCCAGGCCCAACUAGCCUAACCCAAUCAGCCCAAAACAUAAACACCUAGCAGAAACCCUAGCCCCCUGUUGUGCCGCACCUGCUCCUGGCCGCCUCACCUGCUCCGCCGUUCACCUGCUUUCUGCCAUUGCCCAACUGCCCACCUGCAAACGAGUAAAGAAAGCAGCAACAACAACAAUGAAAAGAGGAGAAAUGACAGUGGUGUAAAAAAAAAUGGGUACACAAAUGGGUAUAUAAAAAAGGGCGGGGAUCACCGAAAGAGGGUCUUUUCCUUUUCUUUUGUAAUUUUUUCACAACACAACAGUUAAUGAAAAAAGGCAGAGAAAACAUUUAAAGGUGGAUUCAGACUUUUUAUUCUUUUUUUUGUUUGUUUUUAUGUUUGCUUGUUUAUAUAUAUACGAAUCUAUCUCAACAAAAACGAAAAUAAAAAAGAGAAAGAGAGAAACUCACCGGGGGGCUUUGAAAACCCGUCAUCGCACUUCGCCGGCCGUCGAUCUGGUGGCCGUGCGGCGGAUGUGCGAACGGUGGCAGCUAAGGAGGGCUUUUAAAAAAAACCCUAACAGAGAAAAAGCUAGAGGCUUUUUUUUUUUAUCUUCUAUUACAAAGUGUAUUUUUUAGGGGAAAUUUUAAUUUAAAUAGGAUCAGCUAAACGGCGCCGUUUUGGGUGGGAAAACCCCCGCGCGCGACCCGACCCGCGUCUCAGGAUCCACGUGUUUUGAUGAUUGGGUUAUUUACCCAUUUGGCCCUUCCGCCCUUUUGGGGUGUUUCAAUCUAGUCCUAUUUACAUUUUUAGAUUUUAUAAUUUUCGCCCAAAUUAUUUUUAGCGUUUUUGAUUUAGUCUUGCACUCAUAGAAUGGACACGUGUCCUAAUAAUUGGGAUAUUUUCCGUUUUGGCCCUCCGUCCUUUCGCGCGAGUCACAUUUUGGUCCUUUUCGUCCUUUUUAUUCCAAAUUCGCCCGGUAUUUCCUUUUUUUAUUUUAUUUCGAUUUAGCCCUUUUUUAGUCGCUUUAUUAUUUUGUUUAUUUUAUUAUUAUUAUUAUUAUUAUUAUUAUUAUUUACUAUUAUUAUCUUUACUAUUAUUGUUAGUAUUAUUACUACUAUUAUUAUUACUAUCAUUAUAUUUACACCUAUAUUUACUUAUAUAAAUCUUAGAUAAUAGGUGAUAUAUUAUAUUAUUAUAAAAUUGCGUAUAUACGUACAUGUAUAUGUAUUCUUUUAACUUAUUUAAUAUAUACAUACAAAAUCAUAUUUUCGUAUAUUUUUUAAUUUGUAUAUACAUAUACUUAUAUCUAUAUUUUCUAAUUUUUAUAAAUAUAUUUAUAUGUACAUACUUAUAUUUUUUAUAUACUUUCUAAUUCGUAUAUACCUAUUUACAUCUAUAUUUUUAAUAUAUUUUAAACAUAUAUAUAAAUAUCACUAUUUACUUUUUUAUUUUUAUUUUUUAUUAUUAUUUUCAAAUUUUGAUGUAUACUUACAUAUAUAUAUCUUUACAUUUUUAUAAUUUUAUUCAUUUAUUUAUUUACAUUUUCAUUAUUAUUUUGAACGAAUGCUUUAAUUUUAUUUGCUUGUAUACAUUGCUAUUUCGUAUGUUAUUGGUCUGUACCUUUUAUUUUUCUUAUUUUCGUUGCUAUUACUUGCAUUGUUUUUACAUCAUCGUAUUCAUAUUUAUUUAGUUACGCAUAUUAACAUCGUAUCUUAUUUUUACUGUUUCGUGAAAAAAAUAUUUCAUUCAAUGUAUGAAUUAUAACUUUUUGAGUAAACAAAAUUUCGUGUUUAGAUUUGAGAAAGUCGUACCCUAACUUACUGGGUUUCGACUUUCACAACAAAUCUAAAGACACGAAUCUUUUUAAACUCAAAUUUUAAAUGAUCUCGGGAUUAAAAAUCGCGUCCUAACUUACUGGUCGUGAUCUCAUUUUCAAAUCCGAGAUGGCUAAACCUAUCUUUUAAAUAAGCAUUUUUAUUCGCGUAUCGAGAACUCGAGACGUUGUAUCCUAACUCACUGGAUAUGAUGUCUUUUCUCGAUUAACGUGAAAUAUGCCACUUUUUCCAAGAUUUUCAACUUUUUAAUACAAAGAUCAUAUUUUUAAAAUUCUUUUAAAUUCUCAAUUUUCGACAUUAAGACAUUAAGUAAUCAACUAGGUACCAAUUUUGGGCGUAUCGAGGGUGCUAAUCCUUCCUCGUGCGUAACCGACUCCCGAACCCGUUUUCUAAAUUUCGUGGACCAAAACCGUUGUUUUAAUAAAAUCAAACCGUUUAUUAAAAACAACCCCUCUUCGAGGUGAUCCAAUCGCACCUCAUAAAAAAAAAAGAGGAUUGGUGGCGACUCCCGUUUCUUUUUUCAAAACCCAAGUCAACCCCGUUUUUCAUCCAAAAAAUGGUGUCAACAGAGAGGAGGAGGAAAAUAAAUUUAUGAAUAUUAUGCUCGCAUGGAUUUGCAUUUCAAAUGGUUAAUUUGCAUGAUUUGGGCUCGAGGACUAAAUUGAAUAAAAGUAAAACUUUAGGGGUAAUUUUGGAAAAAUGUCAAAAAAUGACUAAAUUCCAUGAAAUGAAUUGUUUUAUUAUUUAAAUUACUAAAUUGAAUGAAAUAUUAAUUUAGAUCAAUAUUGGGUGGAAAUUCGUGAAAAAUAGAAAUUUUUUAAAAUGUCCCUGAAUUUUGGUAUUUCUGCAAUUUAGCCUGGUAAGUUCUUAUGAACUAUAUUUUGUAUAAUUUUAAUUGAAUUGAAUGCUAUUUGGUAAUGAAUAUUAUAUAUAUAUGUGUGUUUGGAAUUGAUUUAUUAUUGGAUGUUUUGAAAUGAUUAUCGGAAGCUCGAUUGGGUUGGAAGCUUGUUGGAGAUAUAUCACAUUGUCCAUUGGUUCUAUCGGAAAUUUUGGAUGAUUUGAUUCUGGUUAUUGUAUAAGUUAAAUUGGUUAAUGUUAGCUCAUAAAAGUUUUGAUUUUGAUUGGUUAUAAAUAUGAAUGCUUGAUGAAAUGAAAUGUCUGAAAAUUAAUUUGUAAACUCCGAUAAUGCUCUAUAACCCUAUUCUGGGGAAGGAUACGGGUUAGGGGUGUUACAAAAAGCCUUCUCCUCUUGCCCUAUUACGGAUUGGAUUGAGAGCACCAAAGCCAAUGAGAACACAACCAAAAAAAACUUUUGCCAUCCUUUUUAUUUUCUAAAAAGGUUAAGAAAUAAGUAAAGAUAUAUUUUUAUUGAUGCUUAAGGAUGAAGAUGAGACAAAAUUUAAAGAUUUUAAAAUGAGACAUUUUGGGCGAAUUUAGGGGUCGUUGACUAGUCCAGUGCCUAAUAGCCAUACACGACAAAAAUACAUAUAACUUCUCUCCACAUUUUCAAUGGUGAUGUUUAUCACUAUUAUUGGUGGGUUCAAUUUACUUCACUUUGUUUCACUUGAAGACAUUGUGGGUGAUCAUUAAUGUGUUUUAAAAUCAUUCUGACCUUCCCUGUUUGCAUCAUCUGCACCAAUAAAAAACACUCCUUCUCCUUUUAUAGGUCAAUUUUUUUCAUGAAGCAACUUUAAACGUUACUAAUUUGUGGACCAAAAUCUAAAUAGCUUUCUUCUUCUAUAAUGAAGAUUGACUGUUAAAAAGAAUGUUCUUCUACUUGUCUAUAGGUAUCGAUCAUAGCACUGAUUGCCAAAUCAUUGCUUAGAGCUUGCUACCUAGACUUUUCAAAAAAAAAAGUCAAAUGACUAGGCCCGUUCUUGACAUUUUUGAGACCCUAGGCGGAACAAUAAAUUGGGGCCCCUUUUAAAAAAAUUAAAAAAUGUUAUGCAACAAAUAAAAAAAAUUGAGGCCAUUUUUUGAUCCCGUAAGAGCUUCUACUUUUGAUUCUGGAGAAGCUGCCACCCUUGAACUCAACAGUACCCUGUCAGCUUCCAAAGAUGCUGCCUCAUCAAAAGCCUUCUCCUCUUGUCCUACUACAAAUUGGAUUGAGAGCACCAAAGCCAUUGAGAACACAACCAAAAAAACCUUCACAAUCUUUUUUAUUUUCUAAAAUGGUUAAGAAAAAAAAAGUAAACAUAUAUUUUUAUUUAUGCUUAAGGUUGAAAAUGAGACGAAAUUUAAAGAGUUUAAAAUGAGAUAUUUUGGGCGAAUUUAGGGGUGGUUGACUAGUCUAGUGCCUAAUAACCAUACAUGACAAAAAUACAUAUAACUUUUCUCCACAUUUUCAAUGGUCAUGUUUGUCACAAUUUUUGGUGGUUUAAAUUUACUUCUUUUUGUUUCACUCGAAUACGUCGUGGGUGAUCGUUUAAAUUUUUUUAUUUUAUAAUUUUCACAUAUUUUUUUCAUUUAUUUAAAAUUUCAACCAAACAAAUUUUCUCAAUUUUUUUUCUACUUUUAGGAAAACAAAAAGAAAAAGAAAUCUUUAAUUUCUGAAACUAAAUAUACCCUAAACCUUUGCCUCCGACUCAUAAGAUAUUAAGAAUAAGGUAAUUAUUUGGUACACACGAAAUGUAAGUUUUUUAUUCCACAUAUGAAGUUGGGAUUUUGCCUCUUAUCAUAUAUAUAUUUAAUUUUUUGAAUAUAAAUUAAAUAAUAAAUAAUAAAAUCUCAACUAUAUUUAUGAAAUAAAAACCUUUCACCGUCACACCGAACAUUUCCCCUCGUGAUAUCACAAUAGUCUUUGUAAUCAUACUGACAAUCAUAAUGACAAAAGAAAGAAAAAGCUACGGGAUAUGAUAUUCACUACCCUCCAGUUAUGAGACUAUACAUAAUAUCGAUUGGAAGAAAUCGAAUUCAUAAAAAAUCCUACAAACUUAAUAGGUGUUUUUUUCAAGUAAGAAUAAUAAAUUUAGGGUCGAAAUUAAAUAGUAAUUUUUAUGAUAGUAAAAAUAUAAAUUUUAAAAGAUUAAAUCAAAAUUUUAUCAUUUUUAAAAAGUUAAAGUGCAACUUUCCUUUUACUAAUUUAAAAUUUUAAAAAUUUCUAAAAAGUCUAAAAGUAAAUGAUAAUAGAAUAAUUCUAAAAUCUGUCAUAUGCGCCAACUUGAGUUCUUGCGUCAAAUAUUUCGUGCUAUUUGCAUAUCCGCUCAUUUCUCGACACAUUGCAUAAUAAUUAUAAUUACUUAGAACAUGAUUAAAUGCCAAAUUAGAUAAAAUCCAUGUCAAAAAAUAAUCAAAAUAAAUAAUAAAAAUAUAUCGAUUAGCUGCAUUAUCAAUGUGUAAACCUAAUUUAAUGUCAAACUUAAAAGUUAAAAAUUUUCUUAUAUAUAAUGGUCAAACUAAAUUAUUGUUAAAUAUUAUAAAUAUUGAUAAUUAAUAAUAGUGUCCACACAUGAUUUUAAUAUUAAUGGUCAUAAUGUGUCAAACAAUUAAAAUAUUGACUUGUAAGAUUGUUUCCUUAAAUAUUGUAUAUAUUCGAGUUUUGCUAUUGUUGGGAGAAAAAAGUGAAAGGGUCUCGGCUCUCAGUAGUGUUGUGGAACUAAACUUUAAAUGUGGCUAAUUGUCUUGCAAGUCUUCCUUAUUUAUUAUUUUCUUUUUAUUCUCCUUCAACUGACUACAUUGUGUUUAAACAAACCCUUAAUCUAUUUUUGUAGUUAAAUAAGCCCUUAACUUGAUUUUUACUCAUAAAAUCCAUUUAUUUUAAUAUUAAAUUAAAUAUGUUUUACCCAUAUUAAAGGGCUUUUUAGUAUUUUAGCCCUGCUAGACUGUAUGUUGUAGAACCUGACACCUACAUUGCAGAAAUUGUUUGAUUAUUUUCAAUGCAUAAGAACCAAUGAAAACAUAGAUGGAAGGCUAAUAUACUAAAAGGUGCUUAAUCUAUUACACUUUGUUUAAACAAGCUUUUAUACUGUUUUUGUAGUUAAAUAGGCCCUCAAACUAUGAUUUUUACCCAUGAAAGUCCUAAAUUUUAAUAUUAAAGUAAUACUAUUUAAAAAAUAUAUAAAUUAAUUCGCAUUCUAUGUUGAUAUGAAUUUGAUGAGAAUAGUUUAUUAAAAAAAAUAAAAAUUUAAAAUUUGUUGAGAGUGCUUAUAUACAUGACAUGCUUAAUUACUAUUUUGAAAUUGCUGAUUACUUUUUUAGAUUUUAUGUUUCUGUUAAAGUGUAUAUAAUUUUUAUUGCAUCAACAAGAAAUUAAGAUGAGAGCUUGAAAUUCAAAAUAUAUUUACUUUAAUAUUAAAAUAAAAGACUUUUAUGUGUAAAACCCAUAGGUUAAGAGCUUAGUUAACUACAAAAAAAAGUUAAGGGCUUGUUUAAACACAAUAUAAUGAGUUGAAGGGGAAUAAAAAGAAAAAAUAUAUAACGAUGGUUUACAAGGCAAUUAGCCACAUUUAAGCGGCUCCCUUUCACUUCUUUUUCCAAUAGUCACUUAAAAUGGAAAUUUGCACUUCAAAUCCCUAAAUACUUUAAAUUAUUACAUCUCCGUUUGAUACCACUUGACACUAACAAAACAGUACAGUAAAAAACAUACCAUUUUGAUGUAUAUAUAUAUUCGGUUUUGUUAUUGUUUUUAACAUCGGCUUUUAAUUUAUCACAAUUUUUGGAUAAUUUAAAAAAAAUAAUAAUUAUAUUUUAAUUUAACAUAUAGAAAUUAAUGAGUCCUUGCAAAGCAAGAAUGUGUGUGACAGCGUGAUGAAUUUUUUCCCACACAAAAUCCAAAAGGAAUUAGGAAUCUUCAAAUUCGUCGGCCCAAACGUCACCCUUUUUCAGUGCUUCUCAUCAUUUAUAAAAACACUUCGAUUUCCUUUCUUUACUCCAAAUCCGACGUUCGUAAAAAAAGACCAGGUGAACUACCUACGCGCCGCCGUCACCACCAUGUCACAGCCUCAUUUCCUCCUAGUGACCUUCCCUGCACAAGGCCACAUAAACCCAACCUUACAAUUUGCCAAGCAUCUUAUACGUAUUGGCGUACGUGUAACUUUCAUCACCUGCAUCUCCGCUCGCCGCCGCAUGAGCAAAGUCCCCACUGCUCAAGGCCUAACGUUUUUACCCUUUUCCGAUGGCUACGACGACGGUUUUCAACCCGGCGAUGACAUAGACCAUUACCUAUCUGAAUUCAGGCGACGAGGCAAAGAAGCCAUCUCCGAGUUUAUAACAAGCAGUGAAAACGAAGGCAAACCCGUCACUUGCAUUGUCUACACCCUGUUCAUCCAUUGGGCCUCGGAGGUGGCGCGUAAACAUCACAUCCCGACAGCUUUACUUUGGAUUCAACCCGCCACCGUUUUCGACAUCUAUUAUUUUUACUUCAACGGAUACGAAACUACCUUUAAAGCUCAAGCUGAUGAAACAAACCCCCAGCGUUCAAUAAAAUUACCAGGUCUGCCGCUACUCGCCACCCGCGACCUUCCGUCGUUCCUAACCGCUUUAAACGUUUACCGUUGGGCACUGUCGUUAAUCCAAGAAAAAAUGGACGUCCUCGCUGAUGAAUCCAACCCCAAAAUCCUUGUUAACACAUUCGAUGCUUUGGAACACGAAGCAUUAAACGCCAUUGAAAAUUUCAACAUGGUCGGCAUCGGACCUUUAAUCCCAUUUUCUUUCUUGAACUCAAAUGACUCCUUGGAUAAUUCCUUGAGAACCGAUCUUUUUCAAUCCGAUUCAAAAGAUUACCUCCAAUGGUUAGACUCGAAACCAAAAUCGGCCGUCGUUUACGUUUCCUUCGGGAGCAUUGCGGUGUUAACGAAGCAACAAGUGGAGGAAAUCGCUCGAGCUUUAAUAUCCAGCCGGCGACCGUUUUUAUGGGUGGUGAGGAACCGGAAAGAUGGAGGCUACGAAGAGAAAGAAGAAGAUAAACUGACUUGCAGGGAAGAAUUGGAACAGUUUGGGAUGGUGGUUCCAUGGUGUUCGCAAGUGGAAGUACUGUUUCAUCCAUCCUUGGGUUGCUUCGUGACGCAUUGUGGGUGGAACUCGACGUUGGAGAGCAUGGUGGCCGGUGUACCAGUGGUGGCUUUCCCUCAAUGGACGGAUCAAAGGACUAAUGCGAAGCUGAUUGAAGAUGUGUGGGGGAAUGGGGUAAGAGUGAGUGCUAAUGAAGAAGGGAUCGUGGAACGGGAUGAGAUCGUUAGGUGCUUGGAUUUGGUGAUGGGGGAUGAUGAGAAAGGGAUGGAAGUGAAGAAAAAUGUAGAGAAAUGGAAAGGGUUAGCCACUGGAGCCGCCAUGGAAGGCGGCUCCAUGGAUAUGAACCUUAAAGCUUUUGUGGAUGAUAUUGCUGAAGGUUGUCGUAAGUAAAAUUAUCACUUUCAAAUCAAUUCAAUGUUUCAAUUCAAUUACCUGUAAUGUACUAUGCGUGCAAUUAUAGAUUUAAUAUAUAUUCUUUAAUUGAAUCAUUUUAAGUCACUAUUUUUUUCGAAUUCUAAAAUUUCCAUCUCGACACAAAUGAUAGUCACUAAUCCAUUAACUAAAAUUUCAAUAAGUAAUAUGUGAAAAUCGCAAACUGAAAUGCUAUUACACAUAUCAUAAUAUGUUUUGUUGCAUUAAAUUUUGAAAAUAACAGAAUUUAAUGAAUUUAACAAUUAUCGUUUAGUAAAGACUGAAAUUUUAAAAUUUUAAAAGUAAUAGAAUUAAAAAUAACCCAAUUAAAGUAUAAAUAUUAAAUCUACAAUUUUUAUAAAGUAAGACCAAUAAUAAAAUUUAAUAUUGUUUUUUUCUUGAAAGAAAUUGGAAGUGACCAUUAAGUACAAUAUGUGAUAGGGAUGGGAGAAUAUGAAUGGUGUGAUAGAUUUUGAAUGUAGGAAACAAACUUUUUUGAAAUGUGGUUGUAAGAUGGAGUGGGUUGGAUUUUUGUGUGUGUGGUCAAUGUGUAAUUCUUUGCCUUUAUAAAAGUAUCAUUUUAUCCAUUUAAUAUGUAUAACUAUUUAAAUAUGUAGAAAUGUGAAAAUGUAUUAUAGAAAAGCCUUUAUUUUUAAUUAAUGAGCUCUAACCGAUGAUUUAACAAUCAUAUGGUGGAUUAGUACUCAUCGACGAGUAGAGGAAAUCGCUUGAGCUUUAUUAUCCAGCUGACAACCGUUUUUAUGGGUGGUGAGGAACUGGAAAGAUGGAGGCUACGAAGAGAAAGAAGAAGAUAAACUGACUUGCAGGGAAGAAUUGGAACAGUUUGGGGUGGUGCUUCCAUGGUGUUUGCCAGUGGAAGUAUUGUCUCAUCGUCGUUGGAUUGCUUCGUGACACAUUGUGGGUGAAACUCGACGUUGGAAAGCAUGGUGGCCAUUGUACCAGUGGUGGCUUUCCCUCAAUGGACGGAUCAAGGGACUAAUGCGAAGCUGAUUGAAGAUGUGGGGGGAAUGGGGUGAGAGUGAGUGCUAAUGAAGAAGGGAUCAUGAAACGUGAUGAGAUUGUUAGGUGCUUGGGUUUGGUGAUGGGGGAUGAGGAGAAAGGGAUGCAAGUGAAGAAGAAUGUUGUGAAAUGGAAAGGGUUAGCGGAGAGGCCGCCAUGGAAGGUGGUUCCUUGGAUAUCAACCUUAAAGUUUUUGUGGAUGAUGUUGCUCAAGGUUGUUGCAAGUAAAUUUAUCUUUUCAUAUAAUUAUCUCCAUUUAUAUUUCGAAUUCUUAAAUCAAGAAAUAAUAUUUUUAAAAACGAUCAAAUUCCUCUUAACUGUUGUAAUAAUAAUAAUAAUAAUAUCAAAUUAAUGAUCUAAAAUUCGAUGGAAUGUUACAAAUAAAUUUCUAAUUUAUGUUUGUAUUAAAUUUAUGCUUAAAUUAAUUUUGGCCUAUGGUGUAAGUUUUUUUUAAAAAAAUUUUAAUGGCCAAAUUUAAUUAAUAACAUCAACAAUUGAAUUUUAAAUUUUAAGUCAAACUAAGAGACUAAAAUUUAAAAAUUAAAAGUAGUGGAUUAAAUUUUUAAAAAAAUUGCAAAAGAGUACAAGAAUUGGAGGUAUACUUAAAAAAAAUAUUAAAAUUUUCUUUUCUCCUCCAAUAAUAGAAUCUAAAGCUACGCACCUUUAUAAAAAUUAAAAAAAGAAUUAAUUGUCCAAGAUAAAUAUUAAAUAAUAAUAUUUAUGGACUUGAGUACAUGAAAUUUAUUGUUGGUCAUUUAAUUUAUCAUUUAACAAUUACUUUUGUUUUGGCUAUUGAGAAAAUUUUCUAGCCCUUAUAAUGUGUAUAUAUAUAUCUCCAUAUUAUUGGAUGUGUUUCUUUUUAUUAAAUUACAUAGCCUAAGGUUGCUUAUUGCGAUUAUGGUAAUUUGCUGCACCAUCCCCUGACUAAUUCUUCUCAUUUUUAGUGUUAGCAUUCUCCUACUUAAAAUCAGGGUCUCAUGUUGCUUUUUGAGCGUCAUUAUACCAUUCUCCUCUUUAACCCGCCGAAAAAUUCUGCUUUCGAUUCUGGAGAAGCUGCCACCCUUGAAGUCAAAAGUACCCUGUCAGCUUCCAAAGAUGCUGCCUCAUCAAAAGCCUUCUCCUCUUGUCCUACUACAAAUUGGAUUGAGAGCACCAAAGCCAUUGAGAACACAACCAAAAAAACCUUCACAAUCUUUUUUUAUUUUCUAAAAUGGUUAAGAAAAAAAAGUAAACAUAUAUUUUUAUUUAUGCUUAAGGUUGAAAAUGAGACGAAAUUUAAAGAGUUUAAAAUGAGAUAUUUUGGGCGAAUUUAGGGGUGGUUGACUAGUCUAGUGCCUAAUAACCAUACACGACAAAAAUACAUAUAACUGUUCUCCACAUUUUCAAUGGUCAUGUUUGUCACAAUUUUUGGUGGUUUAAAUUUACUUCUUUUUGUUUCACUCGAAUACGUUGUGGGUGAUCGUUUAAAUUUUUUUAUUUUAUAAUUUUCACAUAUUUUUUUCAUUUAUUUAAAAUUUCAACCAAACAAAUUUUCUCAAUUUUUUUUUCUACUUUUAGGAAAACAAAAAGAAAAAGAAAUCUUUAAUUUCUGAACCUAAAUAUACCCUAAACCUUUGCCUCCGACUCAUAAGAUAUUAAGAAUAAGGUAAUUAUUUGGUACACACCAAAUGUAAAUUUUUUAUUAAGUUGGGAUUUUGCCUCUUAUCAUAUAUAUAUAUAUAUAAUAUAAUUUUUUGAAUAUAAAUUAAAGAAGAAAUAAUAAAAUCUCAACUUGAUUUAUGAAAUAAAAGCCUUUCACCGUCCUACCGAACGAACAUUUCCCCUCGUUGUAUCACAAUAAUCAUUGUAAUCAUAAUGACAAUCAUAAUGACAAAAGAAAGAAAAAGCUGUGGGGUAUGAUAUUCACUACCCUCCAAUUAUGAGACUUAUAAUAGAGGGGAAUUAAGAAAAAAAAUUUUAGAGUCGAAAUUAAAUAGUAAUUUUUAUGGUAGUAAAAAUAUAAAUUUUAAAGGAUUAAAUUAAAAUUUUAUUGUUAAAAAAAAAGUUAAAGUGCAACUUUUCUUUUACUAAUUUAAAAUUUUAAAAUUUUUUAAAAAGUCUAAAAAAUAAAUGAUAAUAGAAUAAUUCUAAAAUCUUUGUCAUAUGCGCCAACUUGAGUUUUUGCGUCAAAUAUUUCGUGCUAUUUGUAUAUCCGCUCAUUUCUUGACACAUUACAUAAUAAUUAUAACUACUUAUAACAUGAUUAAAUUCCACGUUCUUAAAAGUAGAUUAACUACCUACGCGCCGCCGUCACCACAAAAUAUUUUAUAUUCGGUUUUGCAAUUGCUUUUAACUUCGGUCACAAACAAAAUUUUUUACUUACACAAACAAAAUUUUUUACUUAGUUAUUAAUAAUAAAAGUGGAUUAUUUUAUUAAAAAAUAAUUUAUAUUUUAUUUACGUUGUAUAAUAAUUAUAUCUACAUAAAAAAUAAUCGAUUAAAUUUCAAAUUACGUAAAAUUUAUUUCCAAAAUUAAUUAAUAUAAUUCAUAAAAAUACUUCGUAUUAUCAAUGUGUCAACUUAGUUUAAUGUCAAACUUAAAAAAAUGUAUAAUGUGAACAUGGCUAAAAAUUUUCUUUUUUAGAUAAAACCUUAAAAUAAUAUUUUACGGAUUUUUACUUAUAUAAUAUAAAAAAUUGAAAUUAAUAACUAAAAUAGCAUGCCCAUGAGAUUAUUUACCAAAAUGGUAUGUUUACUAUGGUGUUUUACUGGUGCCUCUUGUCAAAUUAGCAGUACCAAACUGAAAUGUAAUGAUCUAAAGUAUUUAGGGAUCGCAAAUUUUUCAUUUUGAGUGGUUGUUGGAGACAAAAGUGAAAUGGUGUCGAAUGUCAGUAGUGUUGUGGAACUAGACCUUAAAUGUGGCUAAUUUGCUUGCAAGCCCUCAUUAUUUGUUAUUUUCUUUUUAUUCCCUUUCAACUCACUACAUUGAGUUUAAACAAACCCUUAACUUAUUUUUGUAGUUAAAUAAGUCCUUAACUUGAUUUUUACUCAUAAAAUCCCUUUAUUUUAAUAUUAAAGUAAAUAUGUUAUACCCAUAUUAAAGGGCUUUUUAGUAUUUUAGCCCUGCUAGACUAUAUGUUGUUGAACCUGACACUUACAUUGCAGAAAUUGUUUGAUUAUUUUCAAUGCAUAAGAACCAAUGAAAACAUAGAUGGAAUGCUAAUAUACUAAAAAAUGUUUAAACAAGCUUUUAUACUGUUUUUGUAGUUAAAUAGGCCCUCAAAUUAUGAUUUUUACCCAUAAAAGUCCUAAAUUUUAAUAUUAAAGUAAAACUAUUUAAAAAAUAUAUAAACUAAUUCGUAUUUUAUGUUGAUAUGAAUUUGAUGAGAAUAGUUUAUUAAAUAAAAAAUAAAAAAUUAAAAUUUGUUUAGAGUGCUUAUAUACAUGACAUGCUUAAUUACUAUUCUGAAAUUUCUGAUUACUUUUUUAGAUUUUAUGUUUAUGUUAAAUUGUAUAUAAUUUUUAUUGCAUCAACAAGAAAUUAAGAUAAGAGCUUGAAAUUCAAAAUAUAUUUACUUUAAUAUUAAAAUAAAGAGCUUUUAUGAGUAAAACCUAUUGGUUAAGAGCUUAUUUAACUACAAAAAAAAGUUAAGGGCUUGUUUAAAUACGAUAUAAUGAGUUGAAGGGGAAUAAAAAGAAAAUAAUAUAUAAUGAUGGUUUACAAGGCAAUUAGCCACAUUUAAGCAGCACCAUUUCACUUCUUUUUCCGGUAGUCACUUAAAAUGGGAAUUUGCACUUCAAAUCCCUAAAUACUUUAAAUUAUUACAUUUCAGUCUGAUACCACCUGACACCAACAAAACAGUACAAUAACAGACAUACCAUUUUGAUGUAUAUAUAUUCGGUUUUGCUAUUGUUUUUAACUUCGGCUUUUAAUUUGUCACAAAAUUUUUGGAUAAUUUUUUUAAAAAAUUAAUUAUAUUUUAAUUUAACAUAUAGAAAUUAAUGAGUCCCUACAACAAGAAUGUGUGUGAUGACAACGUGAUGACUGUUUCUCCACGAAUUAGGAAUCUUCAAAUUCGUCAGGCCAAACGUCACCCUUUCAGUGCUUCUCAUCAUUUAUAAAAACACUUCGAUUUCCUUUCUUAGUUACUCCAAAUCCGAUGUUAGUAAAAAAAGACCAGGUGAACUACCUACGCGCCGCCGUCACCACCAUGUCACAGCCUCAUUUCCUCCUAGUGACCUUCCCUGCACAAGGCCACAUAAACCCAACCUUACAAUUUUCCAAGCAUCUUAUACGUAUUGGCGUACGUGUAACUUUCAUCACCUGCAUCUCCGCUCGCCGCCGCAUGAGCAAAGUCCACACUGCUCAAGGCCUAACGUUUUUACCCUUUUCCCAUGGCUACAACGACGGUUUUCAACCCGGCGAUGACAUAGACCAUUACCUAUCUGAAUUCAGGCGACGAGGCAAAGAAGCCAUCUCCGAGUUUAUAACAAGCAGUGAAAACGAAGGCAAACCCGUCACUUGCAUUGUCUACACCCUGUUCAUCCAUUGGGCCUCGGAGGUGGCGCAUAAACAUCACAUCCCGACAGCUUUACUUUGGAUUCAACCCGCCACCGUUUUCGACAUCUAUUAUUUUUACUUCAACGGAUACGAAACUAC
Molecule: long non-coding RNA, 31571 nt
Filed under: Gossypium barbadense (sea-island cotton)
Lineage: Eukaryota; Viridiplantae; Streptophyta; Magnoliopsida; Malvales; Malvaceae
Description: long non-coding RNA (GBAR_LNC013876)
Source: RNAcentral